GUGCUUACUUCAGCAGCAGAUAUACUAAAAUUGGAACAAUUCAGAGAAGAUUAGCAUGGGUCUUGUUUAUCUAGAAAUAAUACAAGUCUCC
This 91-nucleotide small nuclear RNA is filed under the name Otolemur garnettii (small-eared galago). The record is from RNAcentral. Lineage: Eukaryota; Metazoa; Chordata; Mammalia; Primates; Galagidae.